RNAcentral lists this ribosomal RNA (466 nucleotides) under uncultured Nitrosomonas sp. RNAcentral describes it as "bacterial SSU rRNA". It matches the Rfam family "Bacterial small subunit ribosomal RNA", at positions 198 to 645 of the family's 1533-position model. The record is from RNAcentral. Lineage: Bacteria; Pseudomonadati; Pseudomonadota; Betaproteobacteria; Nitrosomonadales; Nitrosomonadaceae.
GGAGGAAAGCAGGGGAUCGAAAGACCUUAUGCUUUUGGAGCGGCCGAUGUCUGAUUAGCUAGUUGGUAAGGUAAUGGCUUACCAAGGCAACGAUCAGUAGUUGGUCUGAGAGGACGACCAGCCACACUGGGACUGAGACACGGCCCAGACUCCUACGGGAGGCAGCAGUGGGGAAUUUUGGACAAUGGGCGCAAGCCUGAUCCAGCAAUGCCGCGUGAGUGAAGAAGGCCUUCGGGUUGUAAAGCUCUUUCAGUUGAGAAGAAAAGAUUGUGACUAAUAAUUGCAAUUCAUGACGGUAUCAACAGAAGAAGCACCGGCUAACUACGUGCCAGCAGCCGCGGUAAUACGUAGGGUGCGAGCGUUAAUCGGAAUUACUGGGCGUAAAGGGUGCGCAGGCGGUUCUGUAAGUCAGAUGUGAAAUCCCCGGGCUUAACCUGGGAACUGCGUUGGAAACUACAAAGCUAGA